AAACGAAGAGUUGGCCGUACCCAACAAUUUCAUUUUGCACAGAGCUCACUGACGAAAUAAUUGGACCUGCCUGGGCUCGCCUUGUUCCGGAAAAAAAAUGGAGGAACCGC
Caenorhabditis elegans is the source of this 110-nucleotide non-coding RNA. The record is from Ensembl. NCBI's taxonomy places the organism in Eukaryota, Metazoa, Nematoda, Chromadorea, Rhabditida, Rhabditidae.